Molecule: ribosomal RNA, 1221 nt
Filed under: Listeria monocytogenes
Lineage: Bacteria; Bacillati; Bacillota; Bacilli; Caryophanales; Listeriaceae
Description: bacterial LSU rRNA
Rfam family: Bacterial large subunit ribosomal RNA
Source: RNAcentral
UUGGUUAAGUUAGAAAGGGCGCACGGUGGAUGCCUUGGCACUAGGAGCCGAAGAAGGACGGGACUAACACCGAUAUGCUUUGGGGAGCUGUACGUAAGCGUUGAUCCAGAGAUUUCCGAAUGGGGGAACCCACUAUCUUUAGUCGGAUAGUAUCCUUACGUGAAUACAUAGCGUGAGGAAGGCAGACCCAGGGAACUGAAACAUCUAAGUACCUGGAGGAAGAGAAAGAAAAAUCGAUUUCCUGAGUAGCGGCGAGCGAAACGGAAAGAGCCCAAACCAAGAAGCUUGCUUCUUGGGGUUGUAGGACACUCUAUACGGAGUUACAAAAGAAAGUUAUAAAUGAAGCGGUCUGGAAAGGCCCGCCAAAGACGGUAACAGCCCGGUAGUUGAAAUAGCUUUCCCUCCAGAGUGGAUCCUGAGUACGGCGGAACACGUGAAAUUCCGUCGGAAUCCGGGAGGACCAUCUCCCAAGGCUAAAUACUCCCUAGUGACCGAUAGUGAACCAGUACCGUGAGGGAAAGGUGAAAAGCACCCCGGAAGGGGAGUGAAACAGUUCCUGAAACCGUGUGCCUACAAGUAGUUAGAGCCCGUUAAUGGGUGAUAGCGUGCCUUUUGUAGAAUGAACCGGCGAGUUACGAUUUGUUGCAAGGUUAAGCGGAAAAAGCGGAGCCGUAGCGAAAGCGAGUCUGAAUAGGGCGCAUAAGUAACAGGUCGUAGACCCGAAACCAGGUGAUCUACCCAUGUCCAGGAUGAAGGUAAGGUAAUACUUACUGGAGGUCCGAACCCACGCACGUUGAAAAGUGCGGGGAUGAGGUGUGGGUAGCGGAGAAAUUCCAAUCGAACUUGGAGAUAGCUGGUUCUCUCCGAAAUAGCUUUAGGGCUAGCCUCGAGGUAAAGAGUCAUGGAGGUAGAGCACUGUUUGGACUAGGGGCCCUUCUCGGGUUACCGAAUUCAGAUAAACUCCGAAUGCCAUGUACUUAUACUCGGGAGUCAGACUGCGAGUGAUAAGAUCCGUAGUCGAAAGGGAAACAGCCCAGACCACCAGUUAAGGUCCCCAAAUAUAUGUUAAGUGGAAAAGGAUGUGGGGUUGCUUAGACAACCAGGAUGUUGGCUUAGAAGCAGCCACCAUUGAAAGAGUGCGUAAUAGCUCACUGGUCGAGUGACCCCGCGCCGAAAAUGUACCGGGGCUAAACAUAUUACCGAAACUGUGGAUGAACCUCU